RNAcentral lists this long non-coding RNA (1375 nucleotides) under Manacus vitellinus (golden-collared manakin). Its description in RNAcentral is "lncRNA (ENSMVIG00005000086.1)". The record is from RNAcentral. Lineage: Eukaryota; Metazoa; Chordata; Aves; Passeriformes; Pipridae.
GUCAGGGCUCUUUGCGAGGAGCUCCGUGUGGAGAUCAACGAGGUGAAGGAGCAGCAGUCCCACAUGGAGGAGAACAUGCAGAAGAUGCAGGAGAUUCUGGACACGGCAAACUUGGAGGAUAUGGCAGAGAACCUCCACAACGAGCUGACAGACCCUGUCAUGGACACUGUCACGUCUUCCAUGAAGGACAUUAUGGGCGAGGACGGACAGGUCCCCCCAGACUGGCAGCAGGUCCCCCCAGACUGGCAGCAGGUCCCCCCGGACUGGCAGCAGGGGCCUGGCACGCGCUCACACCCCUGGGAGGACCAGGGGCUGAUCGUCAUUGGCAAUGAAAGUACGUCUGGGCAGGCCUGGGGAGGGGAUCCAGUGGGUGGGAGGGGCACAGUGGGGCAGACAGGGCACCUGUGGACUGCUGGGUUUUCCCCCAGCUGUGUUCCCCAGGGCUCCCCCAACCCCAGAGAGUUCCCCCUGUUCUCUUCUUCCAGUUGUCCUCACGGACAGGUUCAGGGCAUCCUCACCAAGACAGCGGGAUCCCCGGACCCCCAGCCCUGCGCCCUCAAAAGCCACAGACGGGGCACAGAGCAGAGGGAAGGAUUUGCCACCUGGGGUCACGAGCAGCCCCCGAGUCUCCUUCAUGACAAGUGACAUGGGAUGGAACGACAUGGGACGGAACAGCAUGGGGCCGAUCAAGGAUGAAGAGAUCCAGAUGGGCAUCUCCAAGGGAGCAGCUCUUCCCGGCCCCAAGGCAUGGAGCAAAGGGAAGAACUUGCCCCAUGGGGCUGUGAGCAGCCCCCGAGUGUCCUUCAUGGAAAGCGAUAUGGGAUGGAAUGACACGGGACAGUUCCAGGAUGAAGAGAUCAAGAUGGGCAUCUCCAAGGGAGCGGCUGUUCGAAGCUCAAGGGCAUGGAGCAGAGGGAAGAACUUGCUGCACGGGGUCACGAGCAGCCCCCGAGUGUCCUUCGUGGAAAGUGACGUGGGAUGGGAUGACGUGGAUCAGAGCGGGGAUGAUGAGGAGACCAAGAUAAGCAUCUCAAAGGCAGAGGCUCUUCCCAGCCUCCUGCAUGUUCCCCCUGAGAUGAAGGACGUGAAACAUAUCAAGGACGAAGAGAUCAAGAUGAGAAUCUCCAAGGCAGAGUCUCUUCCCAGGCCGCUGGGUUCUCCCCCUGAGAUGAGCGACAUGGAGCGGAUCAAGGACGAAGAAGUUGAGAUGAGCUUCUCUAAGACAAAGAGUUUGGAUGGCAGUGUCACUGCCCCGAGAGUGCAUCCAGGAUCCCCUGGCAUCCACGCCCCCAUCCCAACGAAGGCAGCACGAGGCCACCCAGCAUCACAGAGCCUCUGGAUGCCAGCUGAGAGUGUGGCUGGGACUGACAGGUGA